RNAcentral lists this ribosomal RNA (208 nucleotides) under uncultured bacterium. RNAcentral's name for it is "partial 16S ribosomal RNA". It matches the Rfam family "Bacterial small subunit ribosomal RNA", at positions 568 to 776 of the family's 1533-position model. The record is from RNAcentral.
UGCGUAGGUGGUUUCUUAAGUCAGGAGUGAAAGGUUACGGCUCAACCGUAGUAAGCUCUUGAAACUGGGAAACUUGAGUGCAGGAGAGGAAAGUGAAAUUCCUAGUGUAGCGGUGAAAUGCGUAGAUAUUAGGAGGAACACCAGUAGCGAAGGCGGCUUUCUGGACUGUAACUGACACUGAGGCACGAAAGCGUGGGGAGGCAAAACA